AGUGAACGCUGGCGGUAGGCCUAACACAUGCAAGUCGAGCGGCAGCACAGUAAGAGCUUGCUCUUACGGGUGGCGAGUGGCGGACGGGUGCGGGAUACCUCGGAAUCUACUUUUUAGUGGGGGAUAACGUAGGGACACUUACGGUAAUACCGCAUACGGCGUACGGGUGAGAGCAGGGGAUCUUCGGCCCUUGCGCGAUUGAAUGACGCGAUGUCGGAUUAGCUAGUUGGCGGGGUAAAGGCCCACCAAGGCGACGAUCCGUAGCUGGUCUGAGAGGAUGAUCAGCCACACUGGAACUGAGACACGGUCCAGACUCCUACGGGAGGCAGCAGUGGGGAAUAUUGGACAAUGGGCGCAAGCCUGAUCCAGCCAUACCGCGUGGGUGAAGAAGGUCUUCGGGUUGUAAAGCCCUUUUGUUGGGAAAGAAAAGCAGCAGGUUAAUACCCCGCUGUUCUGACGGUACCCAAAGAAUAAGCACCGGCUAACUUCGUG
Molecule: ribosomal RNA, 492 nt
Filed under: uncultured bacterium
Lineage: Bacteria
Description: partial 16S ribosomal RNA
Rfam family: Bacterial small subunit ribosomal RNA
Source: RNAcentral